This 305-nucleotide ribosomal RNA is filed under the name uncultured bacterium. RNAcentral describes it as "bacterial SSU rRNA". It matches the Rfam family "Bacterial small subunit ribosomal RNA", at positions 338 to 660 of the family's 1533-position model. The record is from RNAcentral.
CCUACGGGACGCAGCAGUGGGGGAUAUUGCACAAUGGGGGAAACCCUGAUGCAGCGACGCCGCGUGUGGGAAGACGGUCUUCUGGAUUGUAAACCACUGUCCCCAGGGACGAAAAUGACGGUACCUGGGGAGGAAGCUCCGGCUAACUACGUGCCAGCAGCCGCGGUAAUACGUAGGGAGCAAGCGUUGUCCGGAAUUACUGGGUGUAAAGGGAGCGUAGGCGGGGAUGCAAGUUGGGGGUCAAAACUACCGGCUCAACCGAUAGUCGCACUCAAAACUGCAACCCUUGAGGGCGCGGGAAGUAG